RNAcentral lists this ribosomal RNA (407 nucleotides) under uncultured bacterium. RNAcentral describes it as "partial 16S ribosomal RNA". It matches the Rfam family "Bacterial small subunit ribosomal RNA", at positions 30 to 526 of the family's 1533-position model. The record is from RNAcentral.
AUUGAACGCUGGCGGCAGGCCUAACACAUGCAAGUCGAGCGGAGCGGCGGACGGGUGAGUAAUGCCUAGGAAUCUGCCUGGUCGUGGGGGAUAACGUCCGGAAACGGGCGCUAAUACCGCAUACUAUCAGAUGAGCCUAGGUCGGAUUAGCUAGUUGGUGGGGUAAAGGCUUACCAAGGCGACGAUCCGUAACUGGUCUGAGAGGAUGAUCAGUCACACUGGAACGGAGACACGGACCAGACUCGUACGGGAGGCAGCAGUAGGGAAUAUUGGACAAUGGGCGAAAGCCUGAUCCAGCCAUGCCGAGUGUGUGAAGAAGGUCUUCGGAUUGUAAAGCACUUUAAGUUGGGAAGCGUUACCAACAGAAUAAGCACCGGCUAACUGCGUGCCAGCAGCCGCGGUAAUUC